CCGGACCUGACUGCUAUCGGAUUGGUACUAAGCCAUGCGAGUCAUUGUAGCAAUACAAGGCGGACGGCUCAGUAACACGUAGUCAACCUAACCUAUGGACGUGGAUAACCUCGGGAAACUGAGAAUAAACCGCGAUAGAUCAUUAUGCCUGGAAUGGCUUAUGGUUCAAACAAUUUAUUGCCGUAGGAUGGGACUGCGGCCUAUCAGCUUGUUGGUGAGAUAAUGGCCCACCAAGGCUAUAACAGGUACGGGCUCUGAGAGGAGAAGCCCGGAGAUGGGUACUGAGACACGGACCCAGGCCCUAUGGGGCGCAGCAGGCGAGAAACCUUAGCAAUGUGCGAAAGCACGACUAGGUUAAUCCGAGUGAUUCCUGUUGAAGGAAUCUUUUGUCAGUCGUAAAACCACAGACGAAUAAGGGGUGGGCAAGUCUGGUGUCAGCCGCCGCGGUAAUACCAGCACCUCGAGUGGUCAGGAGGUUUAUUGGGCCUAAAGCAUCCGUAGCCGGCUUUGCAAGUCUCCGGUUAAAUCCAGCUGCUCAACAGAUGGGCUGCCGGAGAUACUACACAGCUAGGGAGCGGGAGAGGCAGACGGUAUUCUGUGGGUAGGGGUAAAAUCCAUUGAUCCAUAGAGGACCACCAGUGGCGAAGGCGGUCUGCCAGAACGCGUUCGACGGUGAGGGAUGAAAGCUGGGGGAGCAAACCGGAUUAGAUACCCGGGUAGUCCCAGCUGUAAACGAUGCAAACUCGGUGAUGCAUUGGCUUAUGGCCAAUGCAGUGCCGCAGGAAGCCGUUAAGUUUGCCGCCUGGGAAGUACGGACGCAAGUCUGAACUUAAAGGAAUUGGCGAGGGAGCA
Molecule: ribosomal RNA, 852 nt
Filed under: uncultured archaeon
Lineage: Archaea
Description: bacterial SSU rRNA
Rfam family: Archaeal small subunit ribosomal RNA
Source: RNAcentral